Molecule: long non-coding RNA, 929 nt
Organism: Peromyscus eremicus (cactus mouse)
Lineage: Eukaryota; Metazoa; Chordata; Mammalia; Rodentia; Cricetidae
Exons: 4
Source: RefSeq, a predicted model, not a curated record
GGACUAGUCUGCGAGGGCGGCGACCAGCCCGGCUUAUUUAAAAGGGGUGGGGACCCGACAAGCGCUGGGAGACGCAGCCACUGCGGGCCGAGAGCGCGGCCGGAGCUCCUCCUCCUUCCGUCGCCGCCUCCAGACUGAAGGCCGCUAGCCGGCUCCUGCCAACCGGAACGCGUCCCGAGGUCACCUGGUGACGGGCAGCCAAUCAGACUCGGACUUCCCUCCACGCGCCCGCCUACGGCCCAGGCACGUGACUCACAAAGCCCCGCCCCAUCCCUCAAGCCGCGCGGCGCGGACUCGGGUUUCCAUUCAUCUUGGGCAGCCGGGGAGCCGGGGGUCCCGGGGGUGAGCUGCGACAGUUCGCUGCUCGAGGCUGCGCUUCGAGGCGGGCUCCGAGGGCCAGGUUUGGUGGAGAGCUGGUUCUGUCAGCAGCCGGGCUUCUCCAUGUCUGACAGCUUCCCUUUGCUCACCCAAAGUCACUGCUCACUGAACCCAUGGAGGCAGACGCCACAGAUACAGAGGACUAAUGUCACUUCCCUCAGAUGUGGAUAAAUUGAAGAGAUAUUUGAGCAAAAUCCGUGGAGCUCAACUCUAAACAGCAAAGACACCAGUCUAAAAUUACAGAGGAAGAAGAGGAGCUAUGGUCAGCUUCAUUCCUUAUUGGAAAAACCCUUCAAAGCCAGAGCAACCUAGGAUCUGUGUUUGAGCAAAUGAGGACUCCUACAGAGAAAGAAGCCAUUGUAGAAGAGUGUCCUAAAUGAGAUUAUCAUUGCGGCUUCUAACUAGCAACUGCUAUGUGGGCACACACUGAGUGCAAACUAAUAUCCAUGACAGUCACCUGUAAUGGUGAUAGGUCAGAGUCUCAGGCAAACCUCCCCUGGGCCAGCAACAUGCUAAACGCAUUAUAUAAAGGUAGUAGAAUGAUGGUGUCA